UACGGAGGUUGCGAGCGUUGUUCGGAAUUACUGGGCGUAAAGGGAGCGCAGGCGGCCGGAUAAGUCUAAAGUGAAAUCCCGGGGCUCAACCUCGGAAUUGCUUUGGAUACUGCUCGGCUUGAGUACGUGAGAGGUAGGCGGAAUUCCAGGUGUAGCGGUGAAAUGCGUAGAUAUCUGGAGGAACAUCGGUGGCGAAAGCGGCCUACUGGCACGAAACUGACGCUGAGGCUCGAAAGCGUGGGGAGCGAAC
This 250-nucleotide ribosomal RNA is filed under the name uncultured bacterium. RNAcentral's name for it is "partial 16S ribosomal RNA". It matches the Rfam family "Bacterial small subunit ribosomal RNA", at positions 524 to 773 of the family's 1533-position model. The record is from RNAcentral.